RNAcentral lists this ribosomal RNA (513 nucleotides) under Triparma eleuthera. RNAcentral describes it as "partial internal transcribed spacer 1, 5.8S ribosomal RNA, and internal transcribed spacer 2". The stretch from base 194 to 347 matches the Rfam family "5.8S ribosomal RNA". The record is from RNAcentral. Lineage: Eukaryota; Bolidophyceae; Parmales; Triparmaceae.
GAUCUUCCAAGAUCAAUGACUGUGAAACUUGUAUGUACUCUUAGAUAUGUACUUUCGUGGUGUCGGGUUCUGCCCGAUGCCACACAACCACAAUACCCUUAAAUACGAAAAAAACCUCAACCUUAAGAAAAGAAGGUGCGGCUGACUGCACUUGUUGCAAUCGGCCCCUUCGCAUAUGACGCAAAUGCCAUACGACUUUCAGCAACGGAUGUCUUGGCUCCCACAACGAUGAAGAACGCAGCGAAAUGCGAUACGUAGUGUGAUCUGCAUGUUUUCGUGAAUCAUCAAAUCUUUGAACGCACAUUGCACUUCCUGUAACUACAGGGAGUAUGCUUAUUUGAGUGUCUGCAAACCCCACUCUUCUCAAUCAUAUUGGUUGACGAAGGACUAUGCGGUUGGACGGCUACGACGGUUUAUCGUUGCAGGCGUCCUUCCGUCAAAUUCAGGGCUUUGCGAGAUAAUACUCCAAACGCGACGUACAAGCCCACAUGGUACUAGAGUGCUUCGGCGCCC